RNAcentral lists this unclassified non-coding RNA (8387 nucleotides) under Megachile rotundata (alfalfa leafcutting bee). Its description in RNAcentral is "arginine-glutamic acid dipeptide repeats protein- like, transcript variant X5". The record is from RNAcentral. Lineage: Eukaryota; Metazoa; Arthropoda; Insecta; Hymenoptera; Megachilidae.
GUAUAAAAAUUGAAUUUUGAAAUGACCGCUAAGUAUCCAUUAACGGAAAGAAACGAGGGAAUGAGUGGAAUCGGAACGCACCCCCACAGAAGAAAAAGGAAACAAAACGUAGUACAAGAUGGCUGCGUUUGGGUGUUGUGGCUACUAAUUUGUGUAAGACAUUUCUGUAAUAUUAGAUGGUUAAUUCAUAGUGAAAUAUUAAAUUUUGAUCAGUUAUUCGUUAGUGGAAUUGAGUUUGUGCGUGAUGCGUACACGCGGGAACGAUUCGCAUUGGGAGGAACAAUGCUAACACAUCGCUGAAACAUUUAUCACGGUUCAGGGGGUGGAUGAUAGGAAUUUACUGAAAAUCCAAGAUAGAAGCCGCUUGAAACACUGGAGAAAGACGGUGGAGCUUCGGAGGAGGAGGAGAUGUCUGCCGGCACCCAGGGCGAGAUUCGGGUUGGCCCUUCGCACCAGGAAUUGGUUUCUUGUCAGGCCCGUUUGCCUGAGUAUCGGCCGGGUAUACCUCCUGGAGAGCUGCUUCCUGAUCCAGAGUUUUCUAAAGAACGAGAAGAGCUAAGAUGGAUUCCAGCUAUGGCAUUGGACGGGGAUCUUCUGAUGUACUUAAGAGCAGCACGAUCUAUGGCUGCAUUUGCUGGCAUGUGUGAUGGAGGAUCCCCGGAUGACGGUUGUGUGGCUGCUUCCCGUGACGAUACAACCAUCAAUGCUCUGGACAUCUUGCACGACUCUGGCUAUGAUCCAGGAAGAGCACUGCAGGCGCUGGUUAAAUGUCCCGUACCUAAAGGCAUCGAUAAGAAAUGGUCCGAAGAGGAAACUAAACGCUUCGUCAAAGGACUUCGACAAUUUGGAAAGAAUUUUUCGAGGAUCAGAAAGGAUCUUUUGCCGCAUAAAGACACGCCGGAGUUGGUCGAAUUCUACUAUUUAUGGAAGAAGACGCCAGGGGCGAAUAAUAAUCGACCUCAUCGAAGACGACGUCAGGGUUCCCUUAGAAGAAUUCGCAAUACGCGCAACUCCCGAGCCGGUACUCCCAAAGAAGAGAUUCCAACUCCGCCGAAAGAUACUCCGGCAGCUAGCGUUAAUCAAAAGGAACCUAUUUCGGAGCCCGAAACUGUACCUGUUGGAACACCCGCUAGCAAUAAUCCUGGCGGGGAAAUUAGUUCUGUGACAGAGGACGAUAAUUCGGAAGAGGAUAGUGAUUCGAGGGAUACGAACACUAACGGAGCAACGCAUUCGUGUCAGCACUGUUUCUCGACGAAUUCGAAGGAUUAUCAGGUAGCCGGCAAGGAUAGGUUAUUGCUUUGUACGGAAUGCAGAACACAUUUGAAGAAGACCGGGGAACUGCCGCCUGCUCCUCCGUAUCUGUUCCGCCCUGUGCCUGCGGAAUCACCAGAUAGCCCAGGGAGAAUGCGUACACGAAACAAGGCUAAGGAGACGCCUAGACCCGCGAGACCCCGACGUACAGGUGGAACGGAUACCCCCGAUCAAGAGAAGCAACAGCAGCAGCAGCAGCAGCAGCAACAACAACAACAACAACAACAACAGCAGCAGCAGCAGCAGCAACAACAACAACAAACGCCGGAUAAAAGCAAGAAAAAAUCUUCCAGUAAGCCAGAAACACCGAAGAAAGGUCAAAAGCGGCCGCCAGCCGACGAGGUAGACGAGGAUAAAGAGUCUCAGAAACGAAAACGUCCUGGCGAACAACGUCCUGAGAGCCCUUCGGAGUCGCUCACAACCGACAGCAACUCUCUGAUGGACGAACCUGAGAGAGAAGGAGAAGGCGAUACGAACGAGAAUCAACCCACUCCAGUUACAGUGCCAACCGAGGAGCCAGUGAGUCCGGCCGUAACCACGCCGGAAGAGCCUUCCGAACCAACGCCUGUUUCAACCCCCGUGCCAGCACCGAUACAAACUUUACCCAUAUCUGUUCCUGUUAUUCACGCGUUGGAAAAGAAACCGUUGUUGGAGGAACCGUUGGAAACGAAGGAUCAAAUAGAAGAUGUACCUUUAGCCAUGAAUCAACCUCUGAAGUUGGAACCUAUGCCGAUAGAACCAGCCAUGUCCCCCUCGAACGAAGAUAUGAAAGAACCCGAACAGCAAUUGAACUUGACUACGUCGCAGUCGUUGAACAUGAACGAGAUGAAUCAGAAUAUGCCACGUAAUUUGUCGCAGACGAUUCAGAAUAGCGGUAUUUGUACAGCUUCCGCUGGUUCGCAAAGUGUACAGAAUUCGCAGAUCAUGUCUCCCACGCACCAAGGAUUGCCGCUUAAUAUGCAAUACGCAUCGAACGUUCCUCCCGUACAAAACGUGCCGCAGAACUUGUCGCAGAGCAUGCAAAUGCCGACGAGCAUACCGCAGAGUAUGUCGAAUACGCAAAAUAUGGGACCAACGCAGAACCUUCGAGGUCACGGUGAAAAUUUGUCGAGCGCGCAGAAUAUGCCCCAAAGCAUACCGGGACCACCGUUAAAUCUGAAUAUUUCGCAAAGCAUACCGACAAACAUCGCUCAAAUGCCUCAGAUGCCGAGUUCACCGCAACCUCUUGGUUUGACCGUGAUGUCUUCCGAGAAUAGGAUGUCCGAACGAAUUUCGGACGACAGAUUAUCGACGGAACGGAUAAGAGACGGUAGGAUACCGGACAGAAUACCGGACAGGAUACCCGAAAGACUUUCGGAACGCGCAGAAAAUAACGAGCCGGAGAGGAACGAGCCAAACAAUCUCUUUCAACCGAUUCAACCGAGCGGAAUGUUAUCGAUGGAGAAACCAUCCUCCAUGUACAAUUUGGCUGGCACGCCCCCGAUGGAGCCACAGAAUUUGAAGAUCAAGCAGGAAAUCAUUCCGCCCGAACCGGAUCCGCUUCAGAGCCUGAAAGAGGUGAAAGUUCCUGGUUUCCAGUCCGGCUUCCCUGGUCCGAGUUUAGAGAACAUUAAGAAGGAUCCGGAUAGUUCGAGCAAGCCACCGACACCUAGCAAACACUCGAUGCCGAGUAGCCAGCCAGUUCCUCAGAUGCAAUCGGUGACCGCGUCCCCAACGCCGUCUCUUCCACCUCCGCCUACGUCUAUUCCUCAACCCGUGAUGCAUCCGGCACAACAACCGAGUCCGCACAUGGCCCAUCCGUUCCAUCCUCAUCAUCCGUUAAUGCAUCAUUCGUUGUUCACUGCCAUGCAUCCGUAUCAUCCGCACGCUUAUCCAGGAUACGCUCCGGUCGGGGGAUAUCCUUCGUUUCCGCCGUAUCCUUACGGCCCGGUACCUCACGCUAUUCCUCCGCCGUCCCCGCAAAGGAGUCAAGAAGGUACAACUAUGAUGACGGCGCAUCAUUCGAGUACAAGCUCGAGCGUGACGACCAGAGAAGAAGGAGAAAAUCUGAUCGCCACGCAUCAUCACUCUUCCACGAUGCAUCAAGCGACGGCGUUGCACCACGAUAAAUUAUUAACGAUCUCGUCGCAUAGUUCCCAUAGUCAUUCGUCGUCGCAUAGUUCUCACAACGCUCAACGCAAGCCAUCGUUGGUGUCCGCUGCUUGUUUGACGUCCAGUAGUUCGUCGCAUCAUCAUCAUAGACCACCUCAGGCGCAACCGUCGGUCGUUCAGGAGCCGAAGAUAGAGCCCGAGUUGGUGGAGCAGGAGCAAGAGGAGCCGGCGAGUCCACGAGGUCCGUCCCCGGAACCGAGAAUCGAAGACUCGGAAUGUCAUAGGUCGCAGUCUGCUAUUUUCCUGCGACAUUGGAAUCGGGGUGAAAAUAAUUCUUGCACCAGGACAGAUUUGAUGUUCAAGCCUGUUCCGGAUUCGAAGCUGGCGCGAAAACGAGAGGAAAGAUCGAGGAAACAAGCGGAAAGAGAAAGGGAGGAACGCGACAGAGCGGCGGCGCAGCAAGCCAGGAAAAUGACGACUCCGGAGAAGCAACCGGAAGCUUGUAAGCCACCGAGCCGGGGACCGCUCGAACCAGUGGUGUCUCCGUACGAUAGGUACGCGGCGAGGCCAGGGUCGUAUGCCGACACGCCUGCCUUGAGACAAUUGUCCGAAUACGCUCGGCCGCACGCGGCGUUCUCGCCCGCUAGGCAUCCGGCACCGCCGGAUCCGAUGCUGCACUAUAUGUACAGCCCUGCGGCGCGCGAACGUCUGGAACUGGAACAUCUGGAACGCGAGAAAAGAGAACGGGAAAUCCGAGAGCUGCGAGAAAGAGAAUUGAACGAUCGAUUGAAGGAAGAACUGUUGAAAGGAACACCUAGACCGAUGCCGGCACCGGUGGAUCCUCAUUGGCUGGAGAUACAUCGGCGUUACGCGGCUGCGGGACUCGCGCCAGGACCCUCGGGACCGCCUCAAGCUUUGCAUCAAUUUAGUCUUUACGGAGCUCCACCUGGUCCGAGUCAGUUGGAAAGGGAACGUUUAGAAAGACUAGGGAUACCGACUGCAGCCGGCGGGGGGCCAGCGGGUGCAGGGGCUGGCCAUCCCGUGGCGGCUCAUCACCACGGCCAGCUGGACGAGCGACUGGCUCUAGCUGCUGACCCGAUGGUCCGGUUGCAGAUGGCUGGCAUUUCGCCCGAAUAUCAUGCUCACACUCAUGCGCAUACGCAUGCGCAUACGCACUUACACUUACAUCCGGGACAGCAGCAGGCCCAGCAACAGGCUCAGCAACAGCAGGAAGCGGCUGCGGCUGCAGCUGGAUUCCCCCUGCCUGCGGCAGCCGGUGCAAAUUAUCCGCGACCUGGCUUGAUGCCACGUGAUCCAGCGCUGGCUCUUCAUCCCGCCGAACUUCUCGGAAGACCGUACGCUGACAUGGCGGCUCAUCACGAGCAAUUACAACGUCAUCUAAUGAUGGAACGCGACCGAUUUCCUCCUCACGCAUCGCUCGUAGCACACCACGAGGAGUAUCUAAGGGUGUUUUUUAGACAACAGCGCGAGCGUGAGCUUAAAGUUCGCGCACUGGAAGAAGCUGCACGUGGAUCACGCCCUUAAGUAUCGUUGUAAUUUAUAUAUAUGUGUGCGAGAGAGUGUGUGUGCGAGCGCGCGCGUGUCUGUGUAUAUGUAUACAUACAUACAUACAUGCACAUAUUAAGAAUGAUUAUCCUUCAGAAUUAGGAUCUCGUUCUAGAUCGUGUGUUUUGACGACACGCUGUUUUCAAAGUAACAAUGGUGCAAAGACAGAUACAAACAUAUAUAUGAAGGGAGAGAGAAAGAUUUGCCCACAAAAGAUUACAUUCGUUAACCUUACGUUCAGAUUGAGAAAUUAUUUUUACGUAGUCUCCCUUAGAGCUAAGUAAUAGUAGUAAGGUGGGGAAAAACGUAAAGAUCGUUACGUUACGUCUAACUUUUUAGUGUAAAUACACAAAGUUUAAACCAUACUGCUACGUGAAAGAUGACUCGUUUAACACCGUAGAGAACUAUAAAGUAUAUAUAUAUAUACAUCUCGAUCCCUUUACACGUAAAUUUAUUUGGAAUCUCUUCCCCCCUCUCUCUCUCUCUCUCUCUCUCUCUCUCUCUCAUAUAUACAUAUAUAUUAAUUAUAGUAUUUACAAACUCAAAAUAUUACCAUACGUUUGAUUGUUCUUUCGUUCUUUUUCAAAAGGUGAUAAUGCCAAAGUGUUCAAAAGGAAAGUGAUUAUCCUAGAGAGUAGAUUAUUCUCUUUUCUUCGUUUUACUUAUUGGAUAUCAUAGGAUUAAACGAACACGAAAUACUAAUUUCGAAUAUUGUUUAGAACAGUGAUAGACAACUACGCGUACGAAGUGACGCACACCCGUGGGCACCGUUACAAAUUUCAUAUUUCUAUAUUUAUAAAAUAAUGAAUUUUUCAAUCUACCGAAUCCCUUAAUUUCUAUAUUUCCAAAUCCCGAAAGUCCUGAAUUUCCGAGUUGCUAAAUUCGAUAGUUCGACAUCUAAUCUAAUUAGUGAGCACUUUGGCAAGCGUUUGAUUUGCUCGUUAUUGGUGUAGAUAAACAACUUUCGAAUAUGCUUUCUUAAAACUGUCCGUGGGUAUAGCAACUGUUUUGGGGCAGUUUUCUUUGUAUUUUCCACAGACUUCCCGUAUUCUAUCGUAUUUCUAAGGAUGUAACUUAAGUUUUAAAUAUUAUUGUAAUUCUUUGUGUCGGACGAUUUGUAUAUUUUCUAUAUAUGUAUCCUCUUAAAAUUUUACUCCGAAAACAACCGAGCGUUUGAUACCUAGUUAGAUCGAGCGGCUGAUUAGUAAUAAAUCCCUACGCGAAGAAAAGAAAGAGUAAACUUUGUAACAAAGUGACCAAAGUUAAAAGAAAGAUUAUAGAAGAAAGAAAUCUUCCAUGGUCGUGCGCCUCGUAGAUUUCACAGAAAAUAUAUCCUGUACGGUGCAGGCUCUGAAAAAUAAUACGUAAACGAUGUUUUUUUCAACAAACGGAAGAGAACGCGAGAGAGUGAGCGAGCGAAUGAGAGAGAGAGAGAGAGAGAGAGAGAGAAAAGAAAAGAGAAUACGUGAGAGAGAAAUAGAAAUACUAAAGUAAUCUUUAUUCUGACGACCAUUCAUACGUGUAAAUUUUCUGCUAUAUAAUUAAUUCAGUGUAAUCUAGUUAUUUAACUAAGUAAAGAUAUUUCAUAGGAACGUGUCCCGUUCUUAAUCGUAUCGUUCUCGUUUUAGUUUCUCCAUAAGAAGCGUUCCGAUUAAUUUAGAGCGUGAAUUAUGGUUUGUAUCGUGGAAAAAGUGAAUUAUCGUUUGUCUGCUUGCACUUAAAAGGCUGUAUCGUGGUUUUUUCACUCGUGUUAUCUGUAAAGAACAUUAUAUUUGCAUCGCUGCAACCAAAUCUCGAGCAGACGUUUUCAUUUCAUAGUACAUUUGUUACCAGAGAAAUGGGAGAGGGUGGGGAAAAAAAUGAUAUCGGACAUGAAAAUUUGAUGUAAUCGAAGCAGAAAUGGAAAAAAAAGGAAGAAGAGGGAUCAUUGUAUAUUUUAUUACCAGUUUGUUUGUCAUUCGACUUCCUUUGGAGAAAAAUAAAUGCCUGUCUGGUAAAGAAACUUGUCUUUUCGGCACCUCGCGUAACUUGUGUUACGUUAAUCGACAUUCGCGAGCGGUAACGUCGGACAAAUUUCCAGAAAAAUACUGCUACGAUUCAAGCAGAGAAACAACACGGAACUGGCCUAAUUAGUUUUACACAUGGAAUUUGUUUUCCUCGCCUUUCCUACCGGUUGUCGGUUUGUUUUUAUUGACCGUAAUGUGAAACCCAGCCACCGACCACUUUGCGUGGGAGACGUCGCAUCCAUCUACGUCCGUGCGUUUCCAUGUAGGAAGCGCAAGUGCUUCGUGUUCUUCGGCAAACCGUUUGUCGAAAACACUCGAGCUUUUAAGCGUAUGCCCUAAUGAAAAACGUGAAAUUUUCUACCCUAGUACGUUUUAUAUAAAUAUGUUCGUACGAAAAAGGCACGUUGUCUCUGCUGAAUAAAUUUCGUCGAAUUUGAACGAGCGGUGGAAGGGAAAACGAGUCGGACUCCGAAAUUUGUUGAAAAAGGAAGUAAAGAUUUCAUCCAACUGCAUCGAAUCAUUUAACGCGUUGACUGCCAUAUCACCUCUACGUAAGCAGUAAUUAGGAAUCUAUCAGGUGUACAAUAUAAGAAAUUCGUUAACUCGUCGGAUUAAAAGUAAUCGUGCCGGAUAUUUCGAGAAUGAUCGAUAACGUUUGUUAAAAGGUAGAAAUAUUAACGAAGAAAGUAAUAUCGAGGGGCCUGCGACGUGGCAGUCGACGUAUUAAACUUUUCUUUCCUUUCUAUUUUUCUUACCGAAAUAUUCGUUUAAUCGCGUAUCUGCCUGCCCCAAAAAUUCCAAAUUUUCUCUAUUCGACGCUUCUCUACUCUUUGACAAUCUUUCUGCUGUAUCGUUUACUAACGUGUCCUCUUUUUGUCAGCGAAGCAUCGUGCGAAUGAUUCGGUCGCCCCUAAUCGAGAAUACACGUGCGUUCCACGUGUGUACGUUUAAAAGAGGGGGGCAGGAUAGGUUAGAGGGUAGGGAUUAGGGGUGCCUGUUCAGCGAAGGAGGGCCGGAGGGGAGGCGAGAGUAGGAGGAGACGAGGAAGAGAAGAAGAAGAAGAGAAUUGUGGAGGAAAGGAAGGAAACCGCAGCAGUUAGUCAUUUACGAAUAAGCUACUGACAAAGCCGGACGUCUCCGUUUCGAGCGAACGCAGUCGUCGAACGAUUUGACCGAUAGCGAGGUGGUCGCGGCAUGGCUGCACGAAAGAAAGAGGAUUCGUCGAAACAACGUUAUCAAGCGAACGCGCGCGAAAGGGACCGCACACAUAGGUGAAAACAUCAUCUUUUUCACGGACCGUUAUAAUUUAUUGUACUCCGUGUUGUAGAUUUUCAAGUUAAACAUCGUUAUAAAAUAACGAACAUACACUCGUGCACGAUAAGAAUUAAUCUGACAUUGGCUGUUACAUUUUAA